RNAcentral lists this long non-coding RNA (158 nucleotides) under Mustela putorius furo (domestic ferret). RNAcentral describes it as "lncRNA (ENSMPUG00000029950.1)". Lineage: Eukaryota; Metazoa; Chordata; Mammalia; Carnivora; Mustelidae. The record is from RNAcentral.
AGACGGAAGAGAAAUAUUUCUCCAGCAGAAAGAAAACUACUAUGCUGAGUGAAGCCUGCUGCACACUAGAGCCUGUGCGUGGAACCGGGCGGAGAAGACACCUGAUCUGAGGAACACCAUCUCAUCAGCAUGAGAGAUCGGUAUAUUUAUUCCCCAGG